Molecule: RNA transcript, 1585 nt
Organism: Arachis stenosperma
Lineage: Eukaryota; Viridiplantae; Streptophyta; Magnoliopsida; Fabales; Fabaceae
Gene name: cyclin-D3-2-like
Exons: 6
Source: RefSeq, a predicted model, not a curated record
GUUUUUGUUUUUGGUUUGGACACUAUCCACUCCCUACUCUCUCUACUUUGCAGAAGCAGAGUAACACACUUUGCAACGUUCUGAAUUCUGAUUAUUAUGUAAAAUCAGAGACACAGAAACAGAGAAAGAGAAAGAGUAGUGCCAUGAAACAAACAACAAACAAUGCAACAAACACAAACACCUUAUCUGCUUUGAACAUGAACAUGCCUCACACACAACAAGAGGAACAAGAAGAAGAAGAAGAAGAAGAAGAGGAUGAUGAUUCUUCCUCCUUCUUCGAUGCCCUUCUCUGCGAAGAAGAGAAGAACAUUCUCGAUGAUGAUGAUGACAACCACCAAAGCAGCCUUCUCAUGGACAAUCGGGAACACGACCACAUCCUCUCUCUUCUCUCCAAAGAGACACACACUCACACCAUUCAUGCUUUUCUCGAGGCUCCACGAAACGACGCCGUCUCCUGGAUUUCCAAAGUUAGCUCCUUCUAUGGCUUCACUCCUUUGACCACUGUACUUGCAGUCAACUACUUCGACAGGUUCGUCACAAGCCUAACGUUUCAGAGGGACAAGCCAUGGAUGACUCAGCUCACUGCUCUUGCCUGUUUAUCUCUUGCUGCCAAAAUGGAAGAGAUCCAUGUCCCACUUCUCUUGGACCUCCAAGUGGAGGAACCCAAGUUCUUGUUCGAAGCCAAGACUGUUCAGAGAAUGGAGCUUCUUGUGUUGUCUACACUCCAAUGGAGGAUGAACCCUGUCACCCCAAUUUCCUUCUUUGAACACAUUGUUAGAAGGAUUGGUUUGCAUUGGGAGUUCUUAUGGAGGUGCCAGCGUGUUCUUCUUUCUGUCAUUCCCAAUUCAAGGUUCAUGGGUUAUCUCCCUUCUACAUUGGCUGCUGCUACCAUGAUCCAUGUUAUUAAAGAGAUUGAACCGAUAAAUGCAAUGGAAUACAUAAAUCAACUCAUGGGGUUACUCAAGACUAGUGAGGAACAAGUGAAUGAGUGCUACAAACACAUAGUGAAACAAUUGGUUUUGAAUCAUGAAGGCAUUUACAAUGUUUGCCAAAAACGCAAACGGAUAUCCGAACCAAGUAGCCCCGGGGGUGUAAUUGAUGCAUCAUUCAGUUGUGACAGCUCAAAUGAUUCAUGGACAGCAGCAUCUUUGAUCUCUCCUUCACUAUCAAUGGAGCCAAUGUUUAAGAGGAGCAGAGCUCCGGACCAGCAGAUGCGAUUCGCCACAGUAAAUCGAGUGUCUAUCAAUGUUAUAGAUAGUCCUCCUUAAUAAUAACUUUAACUUUGUAUUCUAAUUCCAACAUGAAUAAGAUCUAGAUAUUGGAGAUUGUUAACAGAUAAAGAAAGAUGGCUGAAAUUUCUUUAGUCAUACAUUGCCAUUGAUGGAGCAAACCAUACCAUGCAUGAAUGUGUUUUGACAAUAACAUACCUAAUUUACAAAUCUGUUUAUAUCUGAGGAUCAGGGAGAUGGGGGAACUCCAUCAUUGCUUGUUUUGUGGAUUUAUGUCACAUUAAAGUGAUGAUUUGAGCCAAAACAAAAAAAAUGCAUUAGGCAAAGAUAUGUAAGGAAAGAAUGAUUAAGAGGAA